UUGGAGGGCAAGCUGGUGCCAGCAGCCGCGGUAAUUCCAGCUCCAAUAGCGUAUAUUAAAGUUGUUGUGGUUAAAAAGCUCGUAGUUGAACCUUGGGCCUGGCUGGCCGGUCCGCCUCACCGCGUGUACUGGUCCGGCCGGGCCUUUCCCUCUGUGGAACCCCCAUGCCCUUCACUGGGUGUGGCGGGGAAACAGGACUUUUACUGUGAAAAAAUUAGAGUGCUCCAGGCAGGCCUAUGCUCGAAUACAUUAGCAUGGAAUAAUAGAAUAGGA
Molecule: ribosomal RNA, 273 nt
Filed under: uncultured Ascomycota
Lineage: Eukaryota; Fungi; Ascomycota
Description: partial 18S ribosomal RNA
Rfam family: Eukaryotic small subunit ribosomal RNA
Source: RNAcentral